GUGCCAGCAGCCGCGGUAAUACGAAGGGGGCUAGCGUUGUUCGGAAUCACUGGGCGUAAAGCGCGCGCAGGCGGUCUUCCAAGUCAGGGGUGAAAUCCUGGAGCUCAACUCCAGAACUGCCUUUGAUACUGAGGAGCUUGAGUCCGGGAGAGGUGAGUGGAACUGCGAGUGUAGAGGUGAAAUUCGUAGAUAUUCGGAAGAACACCAGUGGCGAAGGCGGCCACCUGGCUCGGUACUGACGCUCAGGUUCGAAAGCGUGGGGAGCAAACAGGAUUAGAUACCCUUGUAGUCA
This 292-nucleotide ribosomal RNA is filed under the name uncultured bacterium. Its description in RNAcentral is "partial 16S ribosomal RNA". It matches the Rfam family "Bacterial small subunit ribosomal RNA", at positions 505 to 796 of the family's 1533-position model. The record is from RNAcentral.